This 618-nucleotide ribosomal RNA is filed under the name uncultured bacterium. RNAcentral's name for it is "bacterial SSU rRNA". The stretch from base 1 to 528 matches the Rfam family "Bacterial small subunit ribosomal RNA", at positions 338 to 873 of the family's 1533-position model. The record is from RNAcentral.
CCUACGGGAGGCAGCAGUAGGGAAUUUUCCGCAAUGGGCGAAAGCCUGACGGAGCAAUACCGCGUGAGGGAUGACUGCCUAUGGGUUGUAAACCUCUUUUUUCAGGGAGGAAUAAAUGACGUGUACCUGAAGAAUAAGCAUCGGCUAACUCCGUGCCAGCAGCCGCGGUAAGACGGAGGAUGCAAGUGUUAUCCGGAAUCACUGGGCGUAAAGCGUCUGUAGGUGGCUCGACAAGUCAACUGUUAAAUCUUGAAGCUCAACUUCAAAAUCGCAGUCGAAACUAUCGGACUAGAGUAUAGUAGAGGUAAAGGGAAUUUCCAGUGGAGCGGUGAAAUGCGUAGAGAUUGGAAAGAACACCGAUGGCGAAGGCACUUUACUGGGCUAUUACUGACACUCAGAGACGAAAGCUAGGGUAGCAAAUGGGAUUAGAUACCCCAGUAGUCCUAGCCGUAAACAAUAGAUACUAGUAGUGUACAGAUACGACCUACGUGCAGUACCAACGACUAACGUACGUUAAGUACUACCGUCCGUCGGAAGUAGUGCACGACAGUAGUAGAACUACAAUAGAAGUUAGUACGGCGUGAGACGUGCCGAACGGACGACGACGAGGGAGGUAGG